UCCCAUGUGGCUCAGAUGGUUAAGCAUCUGUCUGCAAUGUAGGAGACCCAGGUUCAAUCUCUGGGUUGGGAA
This 72-nucleotide transfer RNA is filed under the name Capra hircus (goat). It matches the Rfam family "tRNA". From Rfam's summary of the family: Transfer RNA (tRNA) molecules are approximately 80 nucleotides in length. Their secondary structure includes four short double-helical elements and three loops (D, anti-codon, and T loops). RNAcentral also lists the same sequence under 1 other name. Lineage: Eukaryota; Metazoa; Chordata; Mammalia; Artiodactyla; Bovidae. The record is from Rfam by way of RNAcentral.